Molecule: ribosomal RNA, 465 nt
Filed under: uncultured bacterium
Lineage: Bacteria
Description: partial 16S ribosomal RNA
Rfam family: Bacterial small subunit ribosomal RNA
Source: RNAcentral
GACGAACGCUGGCGGCGUGCUUAACACAUGCAAGUCGAACGGAAAGGCCCCUUUGGGGGUACUCGAGUGGCGAACGGGUGAGUAACACGUGAGUAACCUGCCCUUGACUUCGGGAUAACUUCAGGAAACUGGGGCUAAUACCGGAUAGGAAUCCUUGCUGCAUGGUGGGGGUUGGAAAGCUUCGGCGGUUUUGGAUGGACUCGCGGCUUAUCAGCUUGUUGGUGGGGUAGUGGCUUACCAAGGCUUUGACGGGUAGCCGGCCUGAGAGGGCGACCGGCCACAUUGGGACUGAGAUACGGCCCAGACUCCUACGGGAGGCAGCAGAGGGGAAUAUUGCACAAUGGGCGGAAGCCUGAUGCAGCAACGCCGCGUGCGGGAUGACGGCCUUCGGGUUGUAAACCGCUUUCAGCAGGGGCGAAGCUUGUGGUGACGGUACCUGCAGAAGAAGCACCGGCUAACUACGUG